This 3678-nucleotide small RNA is filed under the name Pan troglodytes (chimpanzee). RNAcentral describes it as "retained intron". Lineage: Eukaryota; Metazoa; Chordata; Mammalia; Primates; Hominidae. The record is from RNAcentral.
AUGAGAGUGAAAUUUUGUAUAAGCACCAGCUAGUUAAAGCUAAAGACUAAGUACCUCCUAUACCAAUUCCAGGAAAUACAGAAGUAGACAUCCUGACUUUCUAUCAAUUUGAGUAAGAAAAUCCCAUCCCUCCAUCUCAGUAUGUCUCCAGGCAAAUAGUUUCAGUAGUCUCUUGGACUCUUACCUCAUCCAGUCCCCUAAUCUAUAACUCCAGGUACCAGAUUUCCGUUACUAAAUCCAGUAAGCUUAAUGGUAUCUUCAGAAUGAACCAUGCCCUCCUGUUGGUAUGAGAUCAGCAUGACCCUGCAUCUGCUCUGUGUCAUACUCGGUUAUAUGUUUCUGGAGGCAAUACAAAAUAGGCUCAUAAAUAGUGGGAAAAGAGUACUUUAUCUUUUUGGAAAUAAAGGUAACAGACCCAGAGAAAGCCCCAUCCCUGUUUGGAAUCCCUGCUGAGUCCUGGCUUCUUAUUCUCUUCUCUGCAGGCUGUACUUUCGCAGUCAAGUCAAAGGGGAGACGGACCGAGAACGGCUGCUCCUUGCCUCUCAAACUAGUAGAGAGAUAGUGGCAGGGAGGUUUCCUGUCAACAAGGAAUUGGCUCUUGAGAUGGCUGUCCUGAUGGCCCAGGUAGAAUAUGGGGACUUGGAGAAGCCUGCCCUGCCAGGCCCUGGAGGCACAUCCCCUGCCAAGGCUCAGCAUCUUCUCCAGCAGGUCCUAGACAGGUUCUACCCCAGGCGCUAUAGACAUGGGGCCCCCCCUGAACAGCUGAGGCACCUGGCAGAUAUGUUGACCACAAAAUGGGCAACAUUGCAAGGAUGCUCCCCUCCUGAGUGCAUCCGCAUCUACCUGACCGUGGCCAGGAAAUGGCCUUUCUUUGGUGCUAAACUUUUUGCUGCUCAGCCUGCCCAGCUGUCUUCCAAGGAGAACGCUCUGGUGUGGAUUGCUGUGAAUGAGGAUGGCGUCAGCAUCCUGGACCACACCACUAUGCAAGUGCACAUCACUUACCCCUACUCUUCAGUGACAACCUUUGGUGGCUGCAGGGAUGACUUCAUGCUUGUGAUUAGAUCUAUCCCAGACAAGAGCUCUGGAAAAAGCCACAUUGAGAAGUUGAUCUUCCGGAUGGCUGCUCCCAAGAUUGCAGAAGCUACCUUCAUCAUGGCCAGCUAUAUGAACCAUUGCACUACAACUGUGAACCCCCCCACCAACCCACCCGGAGCCUGCCAGCUGUGGGAACUGGAUGGACGACAGUUCUUUUCUUCUGUUUCCUGUGCUACCAAGGGGCCAACGUUGCUGUGAAUAUUUCUCCUACCCGAUUCCCCACCACCACUAGUGCCUCUGGAUUUAGAGAUAUAUAUCCUAGGGUAUGAUACUACUGUGACGGGUCUAACAGCCCCCGCCUACUCUUGUUCUGUGAAAUGUGUAUUUUAGUAUCUGUGAAGCCUUUACUCUCUAGGUGCCUUAUAAUGUUUCAGGGCUCAACUUUUUAAAAUCCAGACCCAGUGUUAAAACCAUUUAUUCCUUUUUUCAUAAGAAUAAUGACUCCAGAUGCUACCUGAUUCUAGACAUAGACAGGGAUGAUCCACUGUUACUGAGGGCAUCAGUGCUAUAAGUUAAGGCUUUCUGCACUGGUACUCUCAAGGAAGUUAAUUUUCUUUCUGGGGGGGCGGGGGACACUGUCACUAUGUCACCCAGGCUGGAGUCCACAGGGUUCAAGCAAUUCUCCUGCCUCAGCCUUUGGAGUAGCUGGGAUUACAGGUGUGCGCCACCAUGCCCGGCUAAUUUUUGUAUUUUUAGUAGAGAUGGGGUUUCACCGUGUUGGCCAGGCUGGUCUCGAACUCCUGACCUCAGGUGAUCUGCCCACUUUGGCCUCCCAAAGUGCUGGGAUUACAGGCAUGAGCCAUCGCCCAGCCCAGACGCUAAUUUUUUAAUAUUGUAUAUGGUCUUAUUUAUACUUGAAGUUUUGUGAACGUCGCUAAACAGGAUAGGACUAAAAUUUCCAAUUCUCCUACACUCUGUCAGAAGCCUAGAACUCACUAAACUGGGCUGCCUUUCCCAAAUGGGAAAGGUGCUGACAGAGUUGGAGAAAGAAGAAUAGACUCAUUCUUCCCCAUUAUUGGUAUGUAGGCAUUGGUACAGCCCCUUCUGGGGCAGUCUUUGCAGGAUAACAUGCUAUCCCUGCUAAGAUUCAAGCUGUUUUCCUCACACUGGACUUUAGGCCAAACCCAGUACCACGCAAUGUGCAAGCAAGGGCAGGAGGUAGGUCCAAUCUGACCCCUCCCUGUCUCAUUUUAAUGACUGGACAGCGCUUGGUGAAGGCUGUGUUCACUGUAGUGGGCCAUCAUUUGUUUCCUUGUUCUUGUAAAAGACCAAGCAAAUGCACUCUGCUUUUUGCUGCUGUAAGACCACCAAAAAUGAGUCAGAAACACAGAAGACUAUUUCAGGCAUGUGGGCCUGGAUAUGCUCCUUGAGACUUCUGGCAAACUUCUGCUGGGAAUUAGUUUGAGGGUGAGGGUACAUAUGUGACAUUUGCCCUAGCCUAAGAGUAGCAGGUAAAAAAAAGUUUCUUUCAUCUUUUGCCUUACUGAUAAUACCAUAAUCCCCCUCAAUUCAGACCUUCUGAUUGAGUGCAGAGGAGACUAGACAGUCUCCUCUAGACAGGGUGUAGACACACCCUCCCCUAACAAAAACAAAAUGAAAGAGUUCAUACUCUGAUUUUCCAACAUCUAGGAAACUGAGUUUUAUUUCCUAGCUCUAAGGCAGCCUUACUAUGUGUCAGUAAAGUGCUGAAAACUGUAUAUUUAGCAGUAGCACCCAAAACCAAGCCUUUAACCCCAACAAUGUGUGUAUCUUUUGCACAGCAAAAACUGCGAGGCCAGAACUAGUUUAUCUGAACACCUCAGCUGCUGUAAGCUUCUCCUCUCUCACCCCGUAAACUGACAAGCAUGAUGAAAAAAGAAGCACAUCCAAGUUUCUGCCUCUUUUAAAUGUACUUGACUUUGCAAGGCAAGUAGUUUUACAGCCAUUUCUGUUCACACCUUUCACCCCAGGACUUGGGAAUCUAGCUGAGACAUUUCUACCUCGAACAAGUCACAUGUACCACAGGUUCCUGAAUAAUUCCUGCAGGGCUGGUGACAGACAUAACAGCUCUGGUUGUAUAAUAUCUUGGGUAUCUCUAAGGCCAAUAAGGAUAACAUUAUCUACCCAGAGAGUUUAAAAGAAAAGUAGGAGUCCGAAGGAAGAGUAAACAAGAAUGGAGCUGUGUUCACACUGAAUUUGGGGUCAAUCUAUUUCCCCCACCCUCUCUCCUCCCCAACCCUUCAGGAACCCUUUAGUUUAUUAAUCUUAUACAGAAGAAACUGCCUUAGAAACAAAGGAUUCAAUAAUUUGCUUAUUUAUUCUUUGUUAACAUGAGAGUCCCAUGUCUGAAAACCAAAGUCCAAUUUCUGUCUGGCCUUUUGUCUCAUCCUUCUUGGCAAAAGUAGCUUUUGAACUGAUAUAAAAAAAAAAAAAUGCUGAGUAACAGAAAAGUAUUAAUGUGCUUGACACCAUGACUGAAAUACUAUGAUCUUGUUUGUCAAUAAAAAGCAGCUAUCUGUGAACCAGGUAACUGUGUGUUUUGGAAGAUCUGUUUAUUAACAGUAAAUAAAUAAGCCCUGUACAGAACACAGGCACUAGGUUGAC